GAUGAACGCUGGCGGCGUGCCUAACACAUGCAAGUCGAGCGAUUCUCUUCGGAGAAGAGCGGCGGACGGGUGAGUAACGCGUGGGUAACCUGCCCUGUACACACGGAUAACAUACCGAAAGGUAUGCUAAUACGAGAUAAUAUACUUUUAUCGCAUGGUAGAAGUAUCAAAGCUUUUGCGGUACAGGAUGGACCCGCGUCUGAUUAGCUAGUUGGUAAGGUAACGGCUUACCAAGGCGACGAUCAGUAGCCGACCUGAGAGGGUGAUCGGCCACAUCGGAACUGAGACACGGUCCAAACUCCUACGGGAGGCAGCAGUGGGGAAUAUUGCACAAUGGGCGAAAGCCUGAUGCAGCAACGCCGCGUGAGCGAUGAAGGCCUUCGGGUCGUAAAGCUCUGUCCUCAAGGAAGAUAAUGACGGUACUUGAGGAGGAAGCCCCGGCUAACUACGUGCCAGCAGCCGCGGUAAUACGUAGGGGGCUAGCGUUAUCCGGAAUUACUGGGCGUAAAGGGUGCGUAGGUGGUUUCUUAAGUCAGAGGUGAAAGGCUACGGCUCAACCGUAGUAAGCCUUUGAAACUGGGAAACUUGAGUGCAGGAGAGGAGAGUGGAAUUCCUAGUGUAGCGGUGAAAUGCGUAGAUAUUAGGAGGAACACCAGCUGCGAAGGCGGCUCUCUGGACUGUAACUGACACUGAGGCACGAAAGCGUGGGGAGCAAACAGG
Molecule: ribosomal RNA, 720 nt
Filed under: uncultured Clostridium sp.
Lineage: Bacteria; Bacillati; Bacillota; Clostridia; Eubacteriales; Clostridiaceae
Description: bacterial SSU rRNA
Rfam family: Bacterial small subunit ribosomal RNA
Source: RNAcentral